CCUACGGGAGGCGGCAGUGGGGAAUUUUGGACAAUGGGCGAAAGCCUGAUCCAGCAAUGCCGCGUGAGUGAAGAAGGCCUUCGGGUUGUAAAGCUCUUUUGUCAGGGAAGAAACGGUGAGGGCUAAUAUCUCUUGCUAAUGACGGUACCUGAAGAAUAAGCACCGGCUAACUACGUGCCAGCAGCCGCGGUAAUACGUAGGGUGCAAGCGUUAAUCGGAAUUACUGGGCGUAAAGCGUGCGCAGGCGGUUUUGUAAGUCUGUCGUGAAAUCCCCGGGCUCAACCUGGGAAUUGCGAUGGAGACUGCAAGGCUAGAAUCUGGCAGAGGGGGGUAGAAUUCCACGUGUAGCAGUGAAAUGCGUAGAGAUGUGGAGGAACACCGAUGGCGAAGGCAGCCCCCUGGGUCAAGAUUGACGCUCAUGCACGAAAGCGUGGGGAGCAAACAGGAUUAGAUACCCUGGUAGUCCACGCCCUAAACGAUGUCUACUAGUUGUCGGGUUUUAAUUAACUUGGUAACGCAGCUAACGCGUGAAGUAGACCGCCUGGGGAGUACGGUCGCAAGNUUAAAACGUUAAGAGUAGUGCGNGNGAGAGCGACGACGACGACGACGAGGAGGAGG
Molecule: ribosomal RNA, 618 nt
Filed under: uncultured bacterium
Lineage: Bacteria
Description: bacterial SSU rRNA
Rfam family: Bacterial small subunit ribosomal RNA
Source: RNAcentral